RNAcentral lists this unclassified non-coding RNA (299 nucleotides) under plant metagenome. RNAcentral describes it as "partial contains small subunit ribosomal RNA, internal transcribed spacer 1, and 5.8S ribosomal RNA". The record is from RNAcentral.
UUUCCGUAGGUGAACCUGCGGAAGGAUCAUUAAUGAAUAACUAUGGUGUCUUGGUUGUAGCUGGCUCCUCGGAGCAAUGUGCACGCCCGCCAUUUUUAUCUUUCCACCUGUGCACCGACUGUAGGUCUGGAUGACUCUCGUACUCCGGUGCGGAUGCGAGGAUUGCUCUCGGGCUCUCCUCGAAUUUCCAGACUCUACGUCUUUUUACACACCCCAAACGUAUGAUAUAGAAUGUAGUCAAUGGGCUUGAUCGCCUAUAAAACACUAUACAACUUUCAGCAACGGAUCUCUUGGCUCUC